Molecule: long non-coding RNA, 1371 nt
Organism: Penaeus monodon (black tiger shrimp)
Lineage: Eukaryota; Metazoa; Arthropoda; Malacostraca; Decapoda; Penaeidae
Exons: 2
Source: RefSeq, a predicted model, not a curated record
AGAACGUAGAAUUUUAACUUUAUUACCCAGAAAGAGAAAAGUUGUCCAUAAUUCCCUCUCUGGUUUAGUUUCGAGUCAGUAAGUGGGAGUCAGGAACACUAAACAAAUUAUUUUUAUUAUUUACCUUGAUUCAUUAGUUUUACUUAAUACUGAUCUGUAACAGGUAAAAUAAACUGUACUUGUGAUAUGUAAUUUUAAUUAGAGAUGUAGACUGGAGUGAUGAAAGGACUGUUGUAGAUUCUAUAAGCAUGUUACUAUUAAGUAGUUUGUUGUCAUAAUGCUCAUUAUAAUCUCUUAACUGCAUAUUUGAAGUAGAAUUUUGACCUCCAGCAACUGCUAACUCUCCUUGUGCAUGCCAUGUAUAGCGUGACAAAUCAUGGCUGUGCUUUUUAUCCAUCGAAUUUCUCAAAGCAAAAAUCUGUCUCCAAAAGAAUAACGAAGUCAGUGCAAGGGACUUGACUGAGUUGCUUCUCUUAAGUCCUUCUCCGCCCUUUAUUAAAGAAUCCUUAAAGCUCUUCCUCUCCUAGUAAACAUUGCUUCAAGGCCUCCCCCCCCCCUUCUAGUGAAAAUUGAUUGAUCUCGUAGCCCCUUUAAGUAGACAUUGCUGCUAAUAGCCAUUGAGCAACUUCUUUACGAGGAGACGGAGUAAGUUGCUGAGCGGGUGUGCUGACUGUUGCAUGUUGCAGUGGAACCCGAGUAAAGGGCCGCUCACAGUCGGUGCCGCGCCAGAAGGGCCGAGGAAAGGGCAGUCCAGGAGGCCCUCCUAAAACAAGUGACCGCAGGCCCACAGGUAUGCGGUCAUCCUAGGUAGAUGACUUGCUGUGCUUCAGACUGUUGCUGCAGCUGCUGCAUCUGCUGGCCUAUCACUCCUCCCGAGACUUAUCGCCCCCAUCCGAAGUUGAGAUGCUGACCCUUAGUCCUCGGGUUCGCAUUCCUUCCUCGAAAGUCACUUGAAUACCUUGGAUCCUUCUAAGAAUGGGGAAAAGCACUCUACUGUGGCCAAGGGUGUCACGGUUAUUUUAUUGGUGUCAUGGAUCUGUUUGUAUCCUGAGACAAAAAAAAAAAAAAAAGUAAAAUGGGCAACUCUUAGGGUCUCAUAUCUCAGUUUAUGUGAAAUAUUCACCCUAUAAAUAUGAAGAUGUUAGUGUAGGUGUUGUGCAUAUGGAUCUAGUCAGUUCUUUCAAUGGUGCUGUAGAGAAAGGCAGGUGUGAAGUUUAUAAAUACAAGCAUCUGUAUCAAUACGGUUUUACCAGGAAGAGUACCAUUUACUGUGCAUUAUGUAUAUUUUCUCCCGUCCAAAAGUGAAUUGCACAGGCUCCUGUGGCAGUUUAUUUUCUAACAAAAAUAAUCUGCUGCAGAAAGAACACUAAA